Molecule: non-coding RNA, 555 nt
Organism: Pelobates cultripes (western spadefoot toad)
Lineage: Eukaryota; Metazoa; Chordata; Amphibia; Anura; Pelobatidae
Source: the annotation of a GenBank genome assembly
CUGACGUGUGUUAAGGCGACGUUUAAUCAUGAAGCCAUACCGGUUGCAACAGGCAAAGGCUCUUCAUGCAGGAAGCAAAGGAAAGUGUGUAGAAUUUAGUGAUGCAAUGUUAAAGAACAUGGAGGACAACCCCCUCUUAUCGGGUUUGAUUUUUAAUGAUGACGCAACAUUUCAUCUAAGAGGUGAAGUUAACUGUCAAAAUGUGCACCUAUGGAGAUUAUGGAAUCCAUGCAAAGCUGUAGCGAAUAACCAUAAUUCCCCGAAAGCAAACGUGUUUUGUGCAAACGUAUCUCGAAAUGUUGCAGAACUGUCUCUUUCCACAUCUUAAUAAAGAUUUUGAUGACUUAAUUUUUCCACAAGAAAAAUGUGCAGUAAUGGCUCCCAUUGGCGUGUUAGGCACCCAUCCAGUGUAUUUUUACUGCUUAUUGUUUGAAAGGAAGAGCUUCUUUUCAAUACGAGUAUUACAAUCUUCCAUCCCAGGACUCCUCUCUAGAAAUUCAAAGUGGUCGUUUGGCGGUCUGGCACUCGAAGGUUGACCGACUGCUGUAUGCACUG